GAGCGCCGGCUGCCCUGACGUCAGCAUGGCCGCGGCCCCUGACUACCCAGCUCCCUUCUAUCCCUCGAGCGGCAGGAAUCCGUCCCCACGCCCUUUUCCUUUAAAGGGCAACGGGCCGAAGGUGGGGCGGGCGGCGCGGCUCCCGCGAUCCAUUCAGGUCAAAAGGGAGAGUGAUCAAACAGGAGAGCCGAGGGGACCUAUAUUCAGAGACUUAACCGGACACCUGGACAGACCAUUACAACUUGGGACUUUUCAGGAGAAUGAGGGAAAUGUAGUUAUUGCACCUGAGCCUCACUCCAGCUCUGAGGUCCUCUUCACUUCUCUUUGGAAGAAAAUUGGAUAUCUUUUCCUAGUUGAAAGAGUAGAGAUCUGAUUUCUCCAAGGAUCAUCGCUUUUUGACACGGGAUUAUUAGAAGCAUUCAUUCAUCUAUCAAGGAGUUUUGGGAUACUUGCCAUAAGCCAAGCCCUCUGAUAGGUGCUGGAAACAUCAAGGUAAAUAAAAGAGUUCUUCUCCUUGGAGAACAUAUUGGUCUAAUAACUACUUCUGGGGCUCCCUG
RNAcentral lists this long non-coding RNA (557 nucleotides) under Homo sapiens (human). Its description in RNAcentral is "non-protein coding LMCD1-AS1:9". Lineage: Eukaryota; Metazoa; Chordata; Mammalia; Primates; Hominidae. The record is from RNAcentral.